RNAcentral lists this ribosomal RNA (918 nucleotides) under Enterococcus faecalis. RNAcentral describes it as "bacterial SSU rRNA". It matches the Rfam family "Bacterial small subunit ribosomal RNA", at positions 60 to 948 of the family's 1533-position model. Lineage: Bacteria; Bacillati; Bacillota; Bacilli; Lactobacillales; Enterococcaceae. The record is from RNAcentral.
AGUCGAACGCUUCUUUCCUCCCGAGUGCUUGCACUCAAUUGGAAAGAGGAGUGGCGGACGGGUGAGUAACACGUGGGUAACCUACCCAUCAGAGGGGGAUAACACUUGGAAACAGGUGCUAAUACCGCAUAACAGUUUAUGCCGCAUGGCAUAAGAGUGAAAGGCGCUUUCGGGUGUCGCUGAUGGAUGGACCCGCGGUGCAUUAGCUAGUUGGUGAGGUAACGGCUCACCAAGGCCACGAUGCAUAGCCGACCUGAGAGGGUGAUCGGCCACACUGGGACUGAGACACGGCCCAGACUCCUACGGGAGGCAGCAGUAGGGAAUCUUCGGCAAUGGACGAAAGUCUGACCGAGCAACGCCGCGUGAGUGAAGAAGGUUUUCGGAUCGUAAAACUCUGUUGUUAGAGAAGAACAAGGACGUUAGUAACUGAACGUCCCCUGACGGUAUCUAACCAGAAAGCCACGGCUAACUACGUGCCAGCAGCCGCGGUAAUACGUAGGUGGCAAGCGUUGUCCGGAUUUAUUGGGCGUAAAGCGAGCGCAGGCGGUUUCUUAAGUCUGAUGUGAAAGCCCCCGGCUCAACCGGGGAGGGUCAUUGGAAACUGGGAGACUUGAGUGCAGAAGAGGAGAGUGGAAUUCCAUGUGUAGCGGUGAAAUGCGUAGAUAUAUGGAGGAACACCAGUGGCGAAGGCGGCUCUCUGGUCUGUAACUGACGCUGAGGCUCGAAAGCGUGGGGAGCAAACAGGAUUAGAUACCCUGGUAGUCCACGCCGUAAACGAUGAGUGCUAAGUGUUGGAGGGUUUCCGCCCUUCAGUGCUGCAGCAAACGCAUUAAGCACUCCGCCUGGGGAGUACGACCGCAAGGUUGAAACUCAAAGGAAUUGACGGGGGCCCGCACAAGCGGUGGAGCAUGUGGUUUA